RNAcentral lists this small RNA (858 nucleotides) under Pan troglodytes (chimpanzee). RNAcentral describes it as "retained intron". The record is from RNAcentral. Lineage: Eukaryota; Metazoa; Chordata; Mammalia; Primates; Hominidae.
AUUCUCCCCAGACGCCGAGAUGCGGGUCAUGGCGCCCCGAACCCUCAUCCUGCUGCUCUCGGGAGCCCUGGCCCUGACCGAGACCUGGGCCGGCUCCCACUCCAUGAGGUAUUUCUACACCGCUGUGUCCCGGCCCGGCCGCGGAGAGCCCCACUUCAUCGCAGUGGGCUACGUGGACGACACGCAGUUCGUGCGGUUCGACAGCGACGCCGCGAGUCCAAGAGGGGAGCCGCGGGCGCCGUGGGUGGAGCAGGAGGGGCCGGAGUAUUGGCACCGGGAGACACAGAAGUACAAGCGCCAGGCACAGGCUGACCGAGUGAGCCUGCGGAACCUGCGCGGCUACUACAACCAGAGCGAGGACGGUGAGUGACCCCGGCCCCGGGCGCAGGUCACGACCCCUCCCCAUCCCCCACGGACGGCCCGGGUCGCCCCGAGUCUCCCGGUCUGAGAUCCACCCCGAGGCUGCGGAACCCGCCCAGACCCUCGACCGGAGAGAGCCCCAGUCACCUUUACCCGGUUUCAUUUUCAGUUUAGGCCAGAAUCCCCGCGGGUUGGUCGGGGCUGGGGCGGGGCUCGGGGGACGGGGCUGACCACGGGGGCGGGGCCAGGGUCUCACACUCUCCAGUCGAUGUAUGGCUGCGACCUGGGGCCCGACGGGCGCCUCCUCCGCGGGUAUGACCAGUACGCCUACGACGGCAAGGAUUACCUUGCCCUGAACGAGGACCUGCGCUCCUGGACCGCCGCGGACACGGCGGCUCAGAUCACCCAGCGCAAGUUGGAGGCGGCCCGUGCGGCGGAGCAGCUGAGAGCCUACCUGGAGGGCCUGUGCGUGGAGUGGCUCCGCAGAUACCUGGAGAA